UACGAAGGGUGCAAGCGUUACUCGGAAUUACUGGGCGUAAAGCGUGCGCAGGCGGUUCGUUGUGUCGGCGGUGAAAGCCCCGGGCUCAACCUGGGAAUGGCCGUUGAAACUGGCGAACUGGAGUGUGGCAGAGGGGGGUGGAAUUCCGCGUGUAGCAGUGAAAUGCGUAGAGAUGCGGAGGAACACCGAUGGCGAAGGCAGCCCCCUGGGCUGACACUGACGCUCAGGCACGAAAGCGUGGGGAGCAAACAGG
This 253-nucleotide ribosomal RNA is filed under the name uncultured bacterium. RNAcentral describes it as "partial 16S ribosomal RNA". It matches the Rfam family "Bacterial small subunit ribosomal RNA", at positions 524 to 776 of the family's 1533-position model. The record is from RNAcentral.